Molecule: long non-coding RNA, 496 nt
Organism: Hyaena hyaena (striped hyena)
Lineage: Eukaryota; Metazoa; Chordata; Mammalia; Carnivora; Hyaenidae
Exons: 3
Source: RefSeq, a predicted model, not a curated record
UAAAAUGACAUCACAGUCACUGGAUGACUGGAAGAGAACAUGUGUCUCACAUUUUCAGUUACCAAUCUGUGAAGAUAUUGGCAAAAUGAACAGGAAGAUGGAAGCGAUUAUCUGCUCAUCUAAUACUGACUAAAGCUUGCCUCCAUCCCAUAUCACAUCUCACCACCAGCACAAAAAUCUUUUCAACCUGAAACAGAUUCCUAAAUGUUGGAUAAGAAGAGACCUUAUAAAUGGAUACUUCACAACUUUCAUAUUCCUUCAUAUUAUAUUCCUGGAGAUGCUUUAUGACUCUUCAGUUUCCAACAACACUGGGCAUAAACUUCUUGAAAGAAUGAAAUGGCUACCAACAACAAUCUCAAGGUUCUCAACAUCAUUCAUUUUGAAGAUGAGGGUCAGCCUCUACUCCCCUCCCCUCCGGAAUGUAUGGUGUGAUAACAUGGUGCUGCUCAGGUGAAGGAUCUCUUGUGAUUUCCGGUUUUGUGCUUGUUUAUAAAGA